Molecule: ribosomal RNA, 500 nt
Filed under: uncultured bacterium
Lineage: Bacteria
Description: partial 16S ribosomal RNA
Rfam family: Bacterial small subunit ribosomal RNA
Source: RNAcentral
AUUGAACGCUGGCGGAAUGCUUUACACAUGCAAGUCGAACGGCAGCACGGACUUCGGUCUGGUGGCGAGUGGCGAACGGGUGAGUAAUACAUCGGAACGUGCCCAAUCGUGGGGGAUAACGUAGCGAAAGCUACGCUAAUACCGCAUACGAUCUAAGGAUGAAAGCGGGGGAUCGCAAGACCUCGCGCGAUUGGAGCGGCCGAUGUCAGAUUAGGUAGUUGGUAGGGUAAAGGCCUGCCAAGCCGACGAUCUGUAGCUGGUCUGAGAGGAUGAUCAGCCACCCUGUGACUGGAAAACGGACCAGACUCCUACCGAAGGCAGGAGUGAGUAAUGUUGGACAAUUGACGCAAGUCUGUUCCAGCCAUUCCGCGUGCAGGAUUAAGGCCCUCGGGUUGUCAACUGCUUUUGUACAGAACGAAAAGGCUCUGGUUAAUACCUAGGGCUCAUGACGGUACUGUAAGAAUAAGCACCGGCUAACUACGUGCCAGCCGCCGCGGUAA